Molecule: ribosomal RNA, 468 nt
Filed under: uncultured bacterium
Lineage: Bacteria
Description: partial 16S ribosomal RNA
Rfam family: Bacterial small subunit ribosomal RNA
Source: RNAcentral
GACGAACGCUGGCGGCGUGCUUAACACAUGCAAGUCGAACGGAAAGGCCCUGCUUUUGUGGGGUGCUCGAGUGGCGAACGGGUGAGUAACACGUGAGUAACCUGCCCUUGACUUUGGGAUAACUUCAGGAAACUGGGGCUAAUACCGGAUAGGAGCUCCUGCUGCAUGGUGGGGGUUGGAAAGUUUCGGCGGUUGGGGAUGGACUCGCGGCUUAUCAGCUUGUUGGUGGGGUAGUGGCUGACCAAGGCUUUGACGGGUAGCCGGCCUGAGAGGGUGACCGGCCACAUUGGGACUGAGAUACGGCCCAGACGCCUACGGGAGGCAGCAGUGGGGAAUAUUGCACAAUGGGCGGAAGCGUGAUGCAGCAACGCCGCGUGCGGGAUGACGGCCUUCGGGUUGUAAACCGCUUUCGCCUGUGACGAAGCGUGAGUGACGGUAAUGGGUAAAGAAGCACCGGCUAACUACGUG